This is a long non-coding RNA of Vicia villosa (hairy vetch), 672 nucleotides long. RefSeq lists it as uncharacterized. NCBI's taxonomy places the organism in Eukaryota, Viridiplantae, Streptophyta, Magnoliopsida, Fabales, Fabaceae. The transcript has 2 exons. The record is from RefSeq and is a predicted model, not a curated record.
CAUAUAAGAAAGAUAGAUGUUCUUAAAAUACCAUUUUUACCCUUUUUCCCAAUACUCAUCAAUGAAGCUGUCCACGUGGAACCCUCUGCUUCCUUCUUUUCUCUUUCCAUAACUUUACACAACUUGCCUUUUCCCAAUACCAUUUGUUACUUCUACCAUUUGCAUGUUUACUAUGGAUUAUUAUUUUAUUCUCAUUUUUUUCCAUCCACUUUUCAUUCUCUCUUCUCUCUCUUUGUUUACUUCAUCUUUCUUUUUUAUCUCAACAUUCUCUCUUCUUUCUUCCCUAACCUCUUGCUUAAAGAUUCAAUCUUUAUGUGUGUUUCAUCUUAAACAUGAUUUUUUAGAAAAUCUGGACUAUAAUGAGAUGGAACAAAAAUUUUCAGAUCUGAAAUUAUACGAUAUAAAAUUGAAGGUGAGUUGUUACUAUGUGUUUAUUUUUCUAAUUCUUUUUCGUGUUUGUGUUUUGGAGCAGGACACCGCGGCUGGGAUUUCGAGCGGAUGAAGGUGUGUGAGCGAUAUCGGCAUGAAAGAGUUUUGGAUCAGAUCUUCUGCUUCCUCCUUCUGUUUGUUCUUGAUCUUUUAUUUUUUGCAAAAAAACUUGAACUAUAAUAAUGUUGAGAAUUUGAUAUUUGGUAUUGUUUGAUCUUAUAUUAUUAGUGUGGGUUAAUGUUG